UACGUAGGGUGCAAGCGUUGUCCGGAAUUAUUGGGCGUAAAGAGCUCGUAGGCGGUUUGUCGCGUCUGCUGUGAAAACCCGGGGCUUAACCCCGGGCUUGCAGUGGAUACGGGCAGGCUGGAGGCAGGCAGGGGAGAACGGAAUUCCCGGUGUAGCGGUGAAAUGCGCAGAUACCGGGAGGAACACCGGUGGCGAAGGCGGUUCUCUGGGCCUGUACUGACGCUGAGGAGCGAAAGCGUGGGGAGCGAACAGG
Molecule: ribosomal RNA, 253 nt
Filed under: uncultured bacterium
Lineage: Bacteria
Description: partial 16S ribosomal RNA
Rfam family: Bacterial small subunit ribosomal RNA
Source: RNAcentral